CACACAGGUCUUCAGAAUACCAGUUAUGCUGGGAAGCACAGCAGACUGUUCUCAUCAAAGAAGAACUUAUCAUAAAUUAUUUUACCGGUAGCUGAAAAGCAAGCCGAGGGAGACUCUGAGAGAUGUGGGUGCCCUGAAUGUAUCAGAUCUCUGUCUGCCUUCUGCAGCUGUAGCAGCAUGCUAGAUGAUGGAAUAGCAGUGCCCUGGGCAGCAGAAGAAAGUCCUGAGACAGAACACCCAGGACAGCAUACUUACCAUGGCUUCCCUGUCUCACAAGAUUCAUCCACAUCGAACUGCCCAAGAACAAAUGUACCACGGGCUAAUCUGGAGGGCAACUCCUCCAUCUUUCAUGAAAACAUCAAGAGGCACAGGACGAAGAUCAAUGGAGUCGUAAGAAGAUUUUGGAUUUGUGUGUGUGGCCUCUGACAAAACUGUUUCCUUUGUUUCUGAUACUCCUUGAAACCUCGCAGUUCAAAACCUACUUUUUUGGUUUAAGAACUCUUUCCUUGCUUCUUCCCCAUGCUUGGAAAAGAGAUCACUGAAAAUAUGAUCAAGACAAUCUAUUUCCAGCAGACGAAGAGGUUAAGGUUGCAAGUAAAAGUUCCCAGCAUCAUUAGAGUUUAAAGAGACAUUGCAAUACUACAGCUUAAAAGAUUCAUACCAUCAAACACU
This 672-nucleotide long non-coding RNA is filed under the name Homo sapiens (human). RNAcentral describes it as "HSALNT0064296". The record is from RNAcentral. Lineage: Eukaryota; Metazoa; Chordata; Mammalia; Primates; Hominidae.